Long non-coding RNA from Syngnathus typhle (broad-nosed pipefish), 5256 nucleotides. RefSeq lists it as uncharacterized. Lineage: Eukaryota; Metazoa; Chordata; Actinopteri; Syngnathiformes; Syngnathidae. The record is from RefSeq and is a predicted model, not a curated record. The transcript has 3 exons.
CGCUUAGGGAGAUGAGCGCAUGAUAAACUGCAAAUAGCCCAUCAGAGUUCUUCAGCAUAGCAGAAGACUAUUGUCUGUUAGGGAGAAUCUCACUAGCUCCUUUAUUACCUCCAUAAAGGAUGAAAACACAGAUAGUGUGUUUGGUAGCAGGUUUGGAUGAUGACUCAUUUCAUUUUGGUGAAGAUCCAAAAAGAUGUAUAGUAAACAUUCAUUUUCCAUUUUAAUUGCAACAGUUGUUUUGAGGCCAAACAAAGUUAUUUUCCCUUGCGAGAGGUUUGCCUUCUACUGAGUUCUAUUCUUAUUUAGAUUGUUUCAGACUGCUGACUGUACUUCCUUUCGUAGAGGAAUUGCCCCAGCCAUCUCACUUUUUAGAAACAAGAGACCGAAACUGAAUCGACAUGUUUGAUCAUGAACGUGAAUGACACAACACUUUCUUCAUUUGUCCAUGGAUGGGCUCCUGGCUAACCACGGCAAAGAGGCGCACAAGGCGAGGAUGCUGCAGGUUCUUCAUUACAUUGGCUUCUUCCAGGAAGGCUUCUGUCGACAUUGUGCCAAUUUUCAGACUCUUUAUGGCAACCUUCUGGUCGUUGUUGUAGUAACCUGAAAAAAGAUAUCUCAGUUACCGUAUUUUCCGGACGAUAAGGCGCACCGGACUAUAAGGCGCACCUUCAAUGAAUGGCCCAUUUUAAAACUUUGUCCUUAUGUAAGGCGCACCGGACUAUAAGGUGCACCAUUAAUGCAUCAUGUCAGAUUUUUAAUACAAAUCCAUUUUAUGAUUUUUUAUUUCACCUUCAGACGCAACAAAUUACUUUAUAAUCACAAAAUAAUGAUCCAAAGUCUUUUUGAUUCAUGAUUCAUAGUCUUCAGCGGGCCACUUAUGAUUGAUUUCAUGACACAAUGCUUCGGGCCAGUUUAAAUUUAGGAAUUUGGUCCGUAUAUAAGGCGCACUAGGCUAUAAGGCUUUUGAGAAAAUUCUAGGUUUUUAGGUGCACCUUAUAGUUCGGAAAAUACAAUAUUUCCCAAGAUGAAAAAAAAACGUCAUUCAAUUUAAAACAAUCAGUGUGAGCGUCAUCAUAGUUCCGUAGAAUAAAAAGUGGCAGAAAUAUGGCCAAGUUGAAGCAAAGGUCAUGUUUUCUCACUCACUGUCGCGAUAAUUAAUCAGAGCUGGUAUGAAGGCAUUUAAAAAUGGAGGAAACAGCCCUCCAAUUAAUGAAACCAUGGCUGUGACUCAUAUUGUCUAAAUACUGUAAUAGCAAUUUAAGCAAAGCUAUUUGGCCUCUGAAUGAACUUGCACAGUGGACGGUCAAGCUCCUAUUGUUGAAAUAGAAUUCCUUCGAUGCAGCAGUUCCGUGGAAAGCUAGAUUAAUGGACUCCGAGUUAUGCUUCAUGACAAGGUUAAUUCCUCGCAUUAUUCGGCAGGUCGAAGAGCACAAAGUAGCGCACAUUAAAGACUGUACUGGGCAAUACACACUGAGAAAUUUUGAGUGCUGGCAACUAUGUGGUCUUUCCUAUCAAGUGAUAAAUCUCAUCCGAACAAAAAACACAGGGUUUUCUUCUCUCACCCAUCCAGACGUCUCCAAACUGGCCCGAACCGAGUUUAUUCACCGGUUUCAGGGACUCCCGGGGGAUCUCCCAUUUAUCUUGCCACCAUGGUUUCUGAGGAGCUCUUGACUGGCAUGGCUUCACCAACUUGGUACACAAACCAUCCGAAUCACCUGAACCACAGAAAGUGGGUCAGUUGAAGACAUCACUGCAAUGAGUUUGACUUUUUGGGGUGUACUGAAUACACGUACGCAUAUAAUGCUGGACAAGCUCCUUCAGUGAAUUAAAAGAUAUCUUAGAGGUGAUGUAGAAGCCACCGUUGUCCAAAUUGCGGAUCCUGUAGUUCUUCACUCCUUCACCCGUAUUUUGAUCGACGUCCCGGAUUGACAAGGAGUAUGACCCUGAAACAAAUAAGAUGUAAACAUCUUCUGUUUGAACCACACGUGCAACAUUCCUUUCAGAAGGCAUUCUGGGAAAUUGAUAUGCUAUAAAGGCCAUUCAUUGCUGUGUACCCCCCCCCCCCCCCCCCGCAAAUUUGUAAAGAGUUCAACCAAAAUAAUGUCUGCCACAACAAAUAGCAUCACCAGUUUUGAGAAUGGAAAUAAUUUGGUCUGCGGUUGAUCUGGAAUCUCUGAAGCCCAACCCAAGUGCAUCUCUGCAGCAAAAUGUUUCCACUGAUCAAGAACCUGAUCUUGCAAGAUGAUAAAAUCUACAAAACUCUCAAAAACAGACAACGUUCCUCUCACAUCUUCCCCCAUGCCCAUUAAAUCACGACCCACUUAUUGAGUUAUUUUUGUUUGGGACGAACACUGCAUUAGGCUAUCCGGAUCCUCAAUCCCCACAAGGUAAAGUCAAAGGAAUUGUGUUCACGAGAUGCUAAGGGUAUUUAGUCCACACGAUUUCAAAAAUUCCUACAAUUAAUGCAAUACUCUUGUAGUCUAUCCACAUUGCUGACAGUGUUGUUUUGAAACAUGGCUAGCGGUGCUAAAAACAGGAGUAGUGGCAAAAUAAAACCUGUAUGGUGUAUGGCCCAGCAACAUUUCUUGAUUUGAAAGUUUAGCCCAACUGAAUUGAUCAUUUAAUACCCCUGAUAUAGAUUAGACUAGCCCAUUAUCAUUCUGGGGGUUUGGAUGAUUUGAUGCAACAGUGACUCGAACGACGAAAAAAAAAAAAGUAAGCCCUUGACCCAGAUCUUCACUAAACCUGAAUCAGUUUUUACCUUAGCCCAAGCACAACCUCUCACCAGCUUUUUGUGGACACUGGCUUUGUGUACAUCCUUCUAAUUACAUCUGUUUCAAACAGACGUGGUGUGAAAUGAUUUAUUUAAACAACAAGGUGAAGCUUAUGUGAAUCCGUCACCUGGGCUUGUCUCACUCUCACGUAUUAAGAAGGAGCCCUUCGAGUUCCCGGGUGCAAGCAGGAGCCUCAUGGAAUCGUUUCUGGAAAUGUUCUUGAAGAACCACCUGCAACAUACAACAAGCUUCACACACAGCUUUGGGGUAAAACACCCGUGUGACGUACGGUUCGGUCUCCUCGUUGCUCAUUGCAAUGAAGUUGUGUGGGAUGAAGCCCCUCUGUCCUGUGGUAAGAGACUCUGCCAAAUACCACUCUGGAUCAUUCCUAAUAGUCAAGAAAUGACAAUUUAUUGAGUAAAAAUAUACAAACAAUGAAUACAAAUGAUAUAUUUGUUUGUUUGUUUUGUAUGAAUACCAUCAUUUAUCAUUACUUUCCAAUACGGUACCAACGUGUGUGUAUUUAUUUAUAUUCAUUUACUUUUGGAGUUAUUUUAGUCAAAGAAGUCAUAAUAGGGCAACCGUUAAAACUACUUACAACACAGUUGUGGUAAUAAAAUAUUGGAAAAAAAACAAGCUGUUACAUGUUCAGAACUCACUUGUUAAGUAUCUUGAGUUUCUCUCCCUUUUCAAAGCCCAAGUCACCAUCAUGGGUGGGUUCAUGGCUGUAGCAAGCCACUGCAAUGUUCUCUGCAAAACAUUUCCCGUAAUUGUGACAUCAGCUUUUACAAAUGGAAGCUCCUGAAUGUCUGAAGAGAAGCUUUGAGUUUACAUAGCCAACAAUGACAAUUCAAAAGUGUGCAUAUAGGAAAUACAUUUUAAUCUUAACAUUAAAAAAAAAACAAUUAAUGUAAUGCUUUCAUCUUGAAGAAGAAAAAGAAAAGAAAAAAUGCUAUCUAGUGUUUAUUGUUACCAGGUAGAGGAGACAAAGGUGGCGAACCCGGUGAUAGAUAGGGAGUUAGUUCUUCUGUAUACUGGUAACAGAGGACAAGAAAUACAUGAUAUGCAAUAAUCAUGAACAUUAAUGGAAUACUAAACGGCCGUUAGCAACGCAUUAUUGACAGCACUGAGCACAAUUCAGGCAAAUCAGGUUCGUAAUGUAAGUGCAAUUGUCUCGAUCCAUUUUUUUCCAUUCAACUAUUAAAUCACUGAUACAUAUUUUUUGUAUGCACGCACAUCCUGCUGGACUGAGAAAUAAAUCACAGAAGUGAACUUACUGGUAUGCAUGAUUGUGGCUGGACUGGACAGUUACAGUGUUCACAAAUUUCAUCCAAGUUCUCAGUCCAGUCAGCAUCUGAGUAGUCGGAGCUGCAGUUACAUCCCAUCUUUUCUGCAAAUUAAUUAGAUUAUUUAAAUUAAUAGAUCAUUUUUGGGGGGCUGGUGAAAUAACAAGUGUACUUAAAUGAAUACAUCAAUCGGAUUUGUUCAAGUGCAACAAUUAUGUUAAGAAGUCCAGAACUGCCUUACAGCAUGUUUUAUGUUUGAAAACUGAAGCUUUGUAAGGACUUUGUUUGUUAAAUAAUCCUACUGUUCUAAUUACAAGCUCUAGAAACUUCUACUGAGACUUCCUUUGACAAAAACCAGCAUGUAUAUAGUGCAUGUGGUGCCACAUUGUGUUGUUUCAAGAUCACUUGGUCCCCAUUGGACCAGAAUCGGGUCAGUGAGCUGACUGCAACAUUUGUCCCUAUCCAAAGUCUCAGCCAUGGGAAAUAUUCAUGGACUAGGACCCCAAGGAAUAAAUCACAAGACCCCCCCCCCCCUCUACUAUCUCUCAGUGGAGAGCAUUUUUCUAUUCUCGGUGGCAAAUUCAACAUUUUCUAUUUAGGGCUCCUCGUCUUAUGAUCUCUUGCUGAAGGUCUUCCCAAAUAAACCCAGUUUAUUCUCAUUAUUAUAAUAAUAUAAUGUGUGAUGUGCAGUUGUAUGUUAAAUUUGACUGACCAAAGAAGAAUUGGUUUCUUUUCAUAAAACUGAAAGAAAUACUUCUAUGAAUACUACAACUAAAUUCUGAGAACUGUCUGUCUGCCGUGAAAGCAAAAUUGGAAUUAAGCAAAAGGUAUUAAUAUUCUCGGAUUCAAACUUUAGUAUGAUUCAUAAAAUGUAUAAUGAAACCAGAAGAACAUGUAGACAAAACUAAAACUAUAAUCCUGUCGAAGAUUUUCAAUGAGAGUAUAACUUUUGCUUGUUGAUCCGCCUUUACCACUCUUAGUUGUCUACAUGUAUAUCUACAAGUAUGAUACUCACCUUUGUAUAGGAAAUGUGUCUUCACGCACAUCAAAGUUCAGGUUCCGCCAUCGGUAAUUGAAAAUAUUUAGCAAUCACUUUUCACCACUAGUGUGUGGCUGUGACAAUUUUAUCAUCUGUCUGUCUGGUUUGAUAUAUCUGACAGUGCUUCUGUGUGUCUGUACAAACACAUACAUACAAA